This 460-nucleotide ribosomal RNA is filed under the name uncultured bacterium. RNAcentral's name for it is "partial 16S ribosomal RNA". It matches the Rfam family "Bacterial small subunit ribosomal RNA", at positions 338 to 795 of the family's 1533-position model. The record is from RNAcentral.
CCUACGGGUGGCAGCAGUGAGGAAUAUUGGUCAAUGGACGGAAGUCUGAACCAGCCAUGCCGCGUGCAGGAAGACGGCUCUAUGAGUUGUAAACUGCUUUUGUACAAGGGUAAACCUGAAUACGUGUAUUCAGCUGAAAGUACUGUACGAAUAAGGAUCGGCUAACUCCGUGCCAGCAGCCGCGGUAAUACGGAGGAUCCAAGCGUUAUCCGGAUUUAUUGGGUUUAAAGGGUGCGUAGGCGGAUUGAUAAGUUAGAGGUGAAAUGUCCGAGCUUAACUCGGGAACUGCCUCUAAUACUGUUGUUCUAGAGAGUAGAUGCGGUAGGCGGAAUGUAUGGUGUAGCGGUGAAAUGCUUAGAGAUCAUACAGAACACCGAUUGCGAAGGCAGCUUACCAAUCUAUAUCUGACGUUGAGGCACGAAAGCGUGGGGGGCAAACAGGAUUAGAUACCCCAGUAGUC